AUUGAACGCUGGCGGCAUGCCUUACACAUGCAAGUCGAACGGCAGCACGGGAGCAAUCCUGGUGGCGAGUGGCGAACGGGUGAGUAAUAUAUCGGAACGUGCCCAGUCGUGGGGGAUAACGUAGCGAAAGCUACGCUAAUACCGCAUACGAUCUAUGGAUGAAAGCGGGGGAUCGCAAGACCUCGCGCGAUUGGAGCGGCCGAUAUCAGAUUAGGUAGUUGGUGAGGUAAAGGCUCACCAAACCGACGAUCUGUAGCUGGUCUGAGAGGACGACCAGCCACACUGGGACUGAGACACGGCCCAGACUCCUACGGGAGGCAGCAGUGGGGAAUUUUGGACAAUGGGCGCAAGCCUGAUCCAGCAAUGCCGCGUGCAGGAUGAAGGCCUUC
Molecule: ribosomal RNA, 389 nt
Filed under: uncultured bacterium
Lineage: Bacteria
Description: bacterial SSU rRNA
Rfam family: Bacterial small subunit ribosomal RNA
Source: RNAcentral